This 2301-nucleotide ribosomal RNA is filed under the name human gut metagenome. Its description in RNAcentral is "bacterial LSU rRNA". It matches the Rfam family "Bacterial large subunit ribosomal RNA", at positions 1 to 2322 of the family's 2925-position model. The record is from RNAcentral.
GAAAGUAGAAAAGGGCGCAAGGUGGAUGCCUUGGCUCACGGAGGCGAUGAAGGACGUGAUAAGCUGCGAUAAGCUUCGGGUAGGUGCAAAUAACCUUUGAUCCGAGGAUUUCCGAAUGGGACAACCCGGCCGUCUGAAGGACGGUCACUAUGCAAUAGCAUAGGGCAAACGCAGGGAACUGAAACAUCUUAGUACCUGCAGGAAGAGAAAAUAAGUUAAUGAUUCCCCCAGUAGUGGCGAGCGAACGGGGAAGAGCCCAAACCAUGACUGUGGCAACGCAGCCAUGGGGUUGUAGGACCACGCUGUAGCAAGAUACUUGUGAGAAGAACGUUCUGGAAAGAACGGCCAUAGACGGUGACAGCCCGGUAAUCGAAGCAAGUAGAAGCUUAGUGGUAUCCUGAGUAACGCGGAACACGAGAAAUUCUGCGCGAAUCCGCCGGGACCAUCCGGUAAGGCUAAAUACUCCCGUGAGACCGAUAGCGAACCAGUACCGUGAGGGAAAGGUGAAAAGAACCCCGAGCAGGGGAGUGAAAGAGAUCCUGAACCCUUGCGCCUACAAGCGGUCGGAGCUGCCUAUGGCAGUGACGGCGUGCCUUUUGCAUAAUGAACCUACGAGUUACCAUCACAGGCAAGGUUAAGUCUCACGAGAGACGCAACCGCAGUGAAAGCGAGGCUGAAGAGGCCGUCGAGUCUGUGGGGGUAGACGCGAAACCAAGUGAUCUACACUUGUCCAGGUUGAAGUCCCGGUAACACGGGAUGGAGGACCGAACCAAUAAGCGUUGAAAAGCUUCUGGAUGAGAUGAGUGUAGGAGUGAAAGGCCAAUCAAACUUGGAGAUAGCUCGUACUCCCCGAAAGGCAUUUAGGUGCCGCGUCGGAUGUUCAGCGUGAGAGGUAGAGCGACCGAUAGGACAAGAGGGCUUCACCGCCUAUCGAGUCCUGACGAACUCCGAAUGCUCACGCUCCGCAGUCCGGCAGUAAGGGGACGGGUGCUAAGGUCCGUUCCCGAGAGGAGAAGAAUCCAGACCGCCGUCUAAGGUCCCGGAAUUCUGUCUAAGUUAGUCUAACGAAGUGGGGUCUCAGUGACAGCCAGGAUGUUGGCUUGGAAGCAGCCAUUCAUUCAAAGAGUGCGUAACAGCUCACUGGUCGAGAGUCCCUGCAUGGAUAAUAAUCGGGUAUAAGACAGAUACCGAAGGCGCGGGAUAGCAUUAGAAAAAGUAUCGGUAGGGGAGCAUUCCAUAUCCGUCGAAUGGUGCGGGUAACUGAUCCUGGAGGAUAUGGAAAAGCAAAUGUAGGUAUAAGUAACGAUAAGGAGGGUAAGAUUCCCUCCCGCCGCAAGACUAAGGUUUCCCGGGCAAUGUCAAUCAUCCCGGGGUCAGUCGGGUCCUAAGUCUCAGCCGAACGGCGAGGGCGAUGGCAGACACGGUCAACAUUCCGUGACUACCUUUAGGAGCGAUGCGGAGACGGAGCAGUGACACUUCCGCGAGCCGACGGAAUGGCUCGUUGAAGAGUGUAGGCGUUGAUCACGGCAGGCAAAUCCGCCGUGAGAGCCGAACUUGAAAGUACAGGGUCCUCUUCGGAGGAACUUGAUAGCGAGGGUAAGCAUACUCCCGAGAAAAUCCGCUAAGCAAUCCUAAAGGUACCCGUACCGUAAACGGACACACGUAGUCGGGUAGAACAUACUAAGGCGUUGAGAGAUUCAUGGUUAAGGAACUAGGCAAACUGACCCCGUAACUUCGGGAUAAGGGGUCCUCGUGAAAGCGAGGCGCAGAGAAUAGGUCCAGGCAACUGUUUAACAAAAACACAGGGCUGUGCGAACUCGAAAGAUGAAGUAUACAGCCUGACACCUGCCCGGUGCCGGAAGGUUAAGAGGAGAUGUCAACCUCAAGGCGAAGCAUUGAAUUGAAGCCCCGGUAAACGGCGGCCGUAACAAUAACGGUCCUAAGGUAGCGAAAUUCCUUGUCGGGUAAGUUCCGACCUGCACGAAUGGUGUAAUGAUCUGGACACUGUCUCAACCGUGAGCUCAGUGAAAUUGUAGUAUCGGUGAAGAUGCCGAUUACCCGCGAUGGGACGAAAAGACCCCGUGAACCUUUACUACAGCUUAGCAUUGACCUUGGUCAUCCGAUGUGUAGGAUAGGCCGGAGGCUUUGAAGCGGCGUCGCCAGGCGUUGUGGAGCCAUCCUUGAAAUACGGCCCUUUGGCUGUCUGAGGUCUAACUCGCAAGUGCGAGGACACUGUUUGGUGGGUAGUUUGACUGGGGUGGUCGCCUCCAAAAGCGUAACGGAGGCUUCCAAAGGUGCCCU